This 398-nucleotide ribosomal RNA is filed under the name uncultured bacterium. RNAcentral's name for it is "partial 16S ribosomal RNA". It matches the Rfam family "Bacterial small subunit ribosomal RNA", at positions 523 to 918 of the family's 1533-position model. The record is from RNAcentral.
AUACGUAGGGUGCGAGCGUUGUCCGGAAUUACUGGGCGUAAAGAGCUCGUAGGUGGUUUGUCGCGUCGUCUGUGAAAUUCCGGGGCUUAACUCCGGGCGUGCAGGCGAUACGGGCAUAACUUGAGUACUGUAGGGGAGACUGGAAUUCCUGGUGUAGCGGUGAAAUGCGCAGAUAUCAGGAGGAACACCGGUGGCGAAGGCGGGUCUCUGGGCAGUAACUGACGCUGAGGAGCGAAAGCAUGGGUAGCGAACAGGAUUAGAUACCCUGGUAGUCCAUGCCGUAAACGGUGGGCGCUAGGUGUAGGGGUCUUCCACGACUUCUGUGCCGUAGCUAACGCAUUAAGCGCCCCGCCUGGGGAGUACGGCCGCAAGGCUAAAACUUAAAUGAAUUGACGGGG